UUCUUAUCCAGAGAGGUGGAGGGACUGGCCCUUGGAAGCCUCGGCAGCGGACUUGUAAAAGUACUGUGCCAAUUCCAGAAGCAAUAAGCUUAGAGAUAAGAA
This is a regulatory RNA element of Bacilli bacterium VT-13-104, 102 nucleotides long. It matches the Rfam family "SAM riboswitch aptamer (S box leader)". Rfam says of the family: The SAM riboswitch is found upstream of a number of genes which code for proteins involved in methionine or cysteine biosynthesis in Gram-positive bacteria. The SAM riboswitch acts at the level of transcription termination control. NCBI's taxonomy places the organism in Bacteria, Bacillati, Bacillota, Bacilli. The record is from Rfam.